CUCUGGUAAAGCUUGGCGGCUUUCUGUUUCACAGGAAAGAUUUCGAUGAGGCCGUUGUGCAUCUUAAGUCAGGUCUGUCUAUUCUACGGGAAGAACUACCAAGUAGUUCGUUCACAGCCGAUGGUCUGUAUUAUCUUGCACGCAUUGCGAUGGAACGAAACCAAUUGCCAGAUGCACUGCGACACGCCACUCAGUGUUUGCACUUGAGGCAAGAUAUUUAUCCACAACAACACAAGAAAAUUUUUGGUGCACAAGAGUUGGGUCAUAAAAUCGAAGGUAAACUAGCAACAUUACAAGUGGUUGCAAAGAAAGAGAAAUAACAUCAAUGAUACAAUGGAUACAACCGUGCAAAACAUGAUAUUUUAGAGCGCAUUGUUGUUUAGCUAAAUACUUUAGUUUAACGUAGUAGUUAGCUUGCCGUUAAUAGUCAUCAUUUAACUUUCUGUCUACCCGUCAAAGCGACAUACGCUACAUCUUUGUGUAGCGAUUACUUAUUAAGUUCAUUGCUGCAUUCGCUCUAUUUUUAACACAGCAACAUGUAUCACAUUGUUUAUAUUGAAUAUAAUAUAACAAAAAUUUUA
Molecule: long non-coding RNA, 581 nt
Organism: Corticium candelabrum
Lineage: Eukaryota; Metazoa; Porifera; Homoscleromorpha; Homosclerophorida; Plakinidae
Exons: 3
Source: RefSeq, a predicted model, not a curated record